Molecule: long non-coding RNA, 1081 nt
Organism: Ipomoea nil (Japanese morning glory)
Lineage: Eukaryota; Viridiplantae; Streptophyta; Magnoliopsida; Solanales; Convolvulaceae
Exons: 8
Source: RefSeq, a predicted model, not a curated record
UUACUCCAGUGAACCCUCUUUGUCUCCCAGUCAACCAGUAUUACUCUCUUUGUCUCUCAAUCUCCGUCUCUCGCAAACCCUAAAAUCCUAAUCGCAAAUUGCAAAUUGCAACCCUCUCUGCUUCUCUCCCUCGCUCCGUCUCUUAAUCUCUCAAAAGACUGUCAUAGCCCGCCAGCCCUCUCGCCUGUCGCCACUCAAGCGCUCGCUGCCUCGCCGGUCGCCGCUCAAGCGCUCGUUGCCUCACCGCCUCAUUGCCCUCACCCGUUGCAGACUCUUGGUUCUUCACUUCUUCGAAGUUCCAACUAUCAAGUGUUUCUCUAGUGGCUUAAAUGUUGACAUUGGAAGAAUUUUUAGUUUGCAGAUAAAGUGGGGUUUAGGCAGUUGACAUAUCACCUUCAGUAGCUUAUGACCUGAUACAGGAGUCAGUGAUGCAUUCUGCCUCAUUCUGUUGUGAUUAUCAGUUCGAAUCAUAGAACAUUUGUACUACAUUGAGAUGGUAUUCUAGGCAAAGAUAAGGAACACAAGAACAGCCAACCGCGCACACUGGGCAAUUCACAGGCUACAAGCUAAUACCUGGAUCAAAUUUUUUGCCAUUAGCUGGUGGAAAUGCAAAAUUUCUAAGAAGAGCUGCUUUCUUAAAACAUAACCUUUAGGUUCUUUGAUGGCAUGGAUGCUUCAGCGGCAUAUGUGGCAAGCUUGUUGGCUAUUGAGCCUCCUGAUAGUUCCAUAUGACAGUAUGACUCCUCUGCAAGCUUCCCUUGGGGUGAGACUGGUCAGUAGCAACAAGUAAAUUGAAAAUAGCUCAAGUCUCGUGUGGUUGGAGGCAUACAGUUGCUUUUACUGAAAGGCAAAAUGUCUAUUCAUGGGGGAGAGGAAUAAAUGGACAGCUAGGCCAUGGCAAAUCUGCUUACAAGUAACAGUAAUAAUCCAGUAAAGAUUAUUGGGAAAAUAAUUUCUUAGACUAGCUGAAAUUGAGAUACAUAUGCGGCAUCGGAAUGCCCCAACAAUCAUACAAUCUUUGAGUGUGGAUAGAUCAAGUGGACAACUGAUUGAAGCUUCAAAUUUUGAUCCAUCAUCAGGU